UGAGACAGUUCGGUCCCUAUCCGUCGCAGGCGUAGGAAAUUUGAGAAGACCUGUCCUUAGUACGAGAGGACCGGGAUGGACGUACCUCUGGUGUACCAGUUGUCCUGCCAAGGGCAUGGCUGGGUAGCUAUGUACGGAAUGGAUAAGCGCUGAAAGCAUCUAAGCGCGAAGCCAACUUCAAGAUAAGAUUUCCCACCGCAAGGGUAAGACCCCAGAAAGACUAUCUGGUUGAUAGGUCGAAGGUGUAAGUGCAGCAAUGUAUUUAGCUUAUCGAUACUAAUAGGUCGAGGACUUGACCAAU
This 301-nucleotide ribosomal RNA is filed under the name Clostridioides difficile. RNAcentral's name for it is "partial 23S ribosomal RNA". It matches the Rfam family "Bacterial large subunit ribosomal RNA", at positions 2622 to 2925 of the family's 2925-position model. Lineage: Bacteria; Bacillati; Bacillota; Clostridia; Peptostreptococcales; Peptostreptococcaceae. The record is from RNAcentral.